Long non-coding RNA from Leptonychotes weddellii (Weddell seal), 1532 nucleotides. RefSeq lists it as uncharacterized. The record is from RefSeq and is a predicted model, not a curated record. Lineage: Eukaryota; Metazoa; Chordata; Mammalia; Carnivora; Phocidae.
GCUGGGGACGCAGGCCCGGCUCCGUACGCGCACUGAGUCUGCCAUCCCCAUCACCGGGCCCGCGGGGCAGCGGCCGGACGCGGAGCCGGGAGGCGGCGGAGAGGGCCGACGGGCGGACCGAGAGCCGGGCCCUCUGGGCUGCAGCUCUGCAGCUCUGGCAGUGUACCUUUUGAGCUGAAGGCCACUGGCUGUUCUUCUUCCUGAGACCUCACUGCUCCUCGCUUCCCUGCCUUUGACUUGGCUCCUCGAUGGCACAGCCGGCAGACACCGCCCACCUGGCAGACAUUGCCCACUUCCCUGCCCCACGUGGGAGAAUAGCGCAUAGGAGGGAAGGAAGAAGAGCUCAGGCUCCACUCCUUGGCCUGGGAGUGCCGGGGGACACUGGAGGCUGGUCCAGGGGUCACAGUGCUGAUGGGUUCCCAUGGCUCCAAUCUCAUCGUCCACUCUUGACUUGCCUUGACCGGGUUCCAUUUGGGCUUUUCACUGAGUUGUGCUCUUCUGGGCAAGAGGUUUGCUUCCCCAAGCUUCAAUUCCAUGGGGAGUGGGCAUGGUUGGUGACCCCUGCCUGAUGGGGAUGCCGUGAGGACUCCAGGAGAGCAGUACCAAGUUCAGGGCAUAGACUGUGCACACAGGGACACUGAGUGUCCUUGUGCUGGCCUCCUCUGCUCCCUCCUCACCUUGCCUGCUCUCCCCCCACUCCCUCAUUCCCUCCCUAUCUCCUCCCCAGCCCUGACCAGGACCCAAUGUGCCAGGGGAUGCAAGUCAAGACGGUUUCCGUUGUGUGUUUGAGAAAGCCAAACUGCACUUAACCCAGUGGGGACAACUGUUGGGAGGUUCCUGCAUUGUAAACCCUGGGAGAGCAUGGGUGGAGCUGGCCCUGGGACCACAAGCUAGAGAAAUGGGCCAGAGCCUUGGAAGCUAUGGGCAAACUCUUCAUCACAUCCUGUUCUCCUCUGGGUCAGCUUCCUUCUCCCUGUGUCACCUUCUGCUCUUCCAUUGCCCAAGGGGGGCAGACCCUCUGUCCCAUAUCAAGUUUGAAAAUCCCCAGAGGAGGACUCUGAUGGGCUCCUUGGGCAGGGCCUCCCACUUCUGGGGUGGGCAGUCAGGCUCAUGUGAAGACAUGGCAGGAGAAAGGGCAGAAACAGUUGGGAAAGGCAGAAGGCUGGGGGCUUAUUCUCCGAUCAUAAGAAAGAGGGCAUGGGUGCUGUAUAACGGAAUGCUGAAUGCAGUGGCCCUCCGCCCCCCUUUUCCAGGCAGCCCCCAGAACACCAGCAACUGGACCCUUGCUGUCAGGCAAGAGACUGGAAAACUCUUCUCUGGAAGUUGGACCAGCCCUAAAACCUAAAGCAAAGAUCUGACCCCUGCGCUCCCCACCCCCUGCCACCGUAGACUCCCCUAGAUUACCUAGCAGAGAAUCUCAGCAUCAACAGGCUUCACUGUGUGUUCAGAACUUUCCUCCCACCUUGAAUCUGAUCAGACAGCCCAAGGUCAUGUGGCAAAAAAAAAAACAAAAACAAAAAACCCCCACAAAA